GUGCUCACUUUGGCAGCAAGUAUACUAAAAUUGGAUUGAUACAGAGAAGGUUAGCAUGGCCCCUGUGCAAGGAUGACAUGCAAAUUCAUGAAGCAACUGGUAAUUUU
Molecule: small nuclear RNA, 107 nt
Organism: Diceros bicornis minor
Lineage: Eukaryota; Metazoa; Chordata; Mammalia; Perissodactyla; Rhinocerotidae
Source: RefSeq, a predicted model, not a curated record